RNAcentral lists this transfer RNA (83 nucleotides) under Nonomuraea phyllanthi. It matches the Rfam family "tRNA". From Rfam's summary of the family: Transfer RNA (tRNA) molecules are approximately 80 nucleotides in length. The record is from Rfam by way of RNAcentral. Lineage: Bacteria; Bacillati; Actinomycetota; Actinomycetes; Streptosporangiales; Streptosporangiaceae.
GCCGGAAUGAUGGAAUGGCAGACAUGGACGCCUCAAAAGCGUCUGCUCGACAGAGCGUGCGGGUUCGAAUCCCGCUUCCGGCA